AUUGAACGCUGGCGGCAUGCCUUACACAUGCAAGUCGGACGGUAACAGGUCUUCGGAUGCUGACGAGUGGCGAACGGGCGAGUAAUACAUCGGAACGUGCCUAGUAGUGGGGGAUAACUACUCGAAAGAGUGGCUAGUACCGCAUGAGAUCUACGGAUGAAAGGAGGGGAUCGCAAGACCUUGUGCUACUAGAGCGGCCGAUGGCAGAUUAGGUAGUUGGUGGGAUAAAAGCUUACCAAGCCGACGAUCUGUAGCUGGUCUGAGAGGACGAUCAGCCACACUGGGACUGAGACACGGCCCAGACUCCUACGGGAGGCAGCAGUGGGGAAUAUUGGACAAUGGGCGCAAGCCUGAUCCAGCAAUGCCGCGUGUGUGAAGAAGGCCUUCGGGUUGUAAAGCACUUUUGUCCGGAACGAAAAGCGAUGGGUUAAUAACCUGUCGUGCUGACGGUACCGGUUGAAUAAGCACCGGCUAACUUCGUGCCAGCAGCCGCCGUAA
This 498-nucleotide ribosomal RNA is filed under the name uncultured bacterium. Its description in RNAcentral is "partial 16S ribosomal RNA". It matches the Rfam family "Bacterial small subunit ribosomal RNA", at positions 30 to 523 of the family's 1533-position model. The record is from RNAcentral.